This is a long non-coding RNA of Cebus imitator (Panamanian white-faced capuchin), 733 nucleotides long. RefSeq lists it as uncharacterized. The record is from RefSeq and is a predicted model, not a curated record. Lineage: Eukaryota; Metazoa; Chordata; Mammalia; Primates; Cebidae. The transcript has 2 exons.
AGUGUUUAGUGUCGUUGCUGCUGUUUUUAAAUAGUUGUCACUGUUGAUGGAAUGAGUAAACAUGCUUUAUAUAGGAGAAAACUUCAUAAAAGCUUAUUGAUUUUGCUAUAAUAAUUUACAUGUAUACCAGAAAGAGUGGCAUGAUAGUGGUCUUGUAACCAUAUCAUAUUGAAAAGAAUUAAUUGUCAGCAAAUGUUAGUUCUGUUUGUUGGAGUGGAACUUAACCAUUAUACCUUGGCAAUAGCAUAAUAUAUUCGUAAGAUACCAACCUUACCAAAUAUCAAAUGGGCCAGUGUUGUGCCGGACCCAUAUUGACUCCAGUAGAAAUGGCAGUCAAGUGGCAGCAUGCUACACAGGAGAACUGCUACCAUUUAUAUACACCAUGCAGUUUAUAUAGCAUUUUCACUUAGCACCCUCUACCUAGCAACCUCCUCCACUUAACCCAGAAGAAAGGGCCUCCAUCCCCUGUGGAGAUCCCCUGUGUGGCCUUCCAAGGGAUGGGCUGGGGAUUCAGAUGUCCUUCAUAGCUGAGGAGUGAAACUCUAGAUCAGCUACUGCCCUCAGAUUCCUUAGCUCAGGACUCCAGUUACACAUUCUUCUUAGACUAUAGGUUCAUUUUCAGAAUAUGCUUAAGUUACUGCUGUCAGCUGCAUCUGUCAUACAGCCAGCUUUUAGCUCCUUUCUUCCCAUCUCUUCCCCCUUCCCCUUUUUUUCCUUUAGAAAUAACAUUUGC